CAAUUUCAACACUAAAUAUUCAGAAUGAUUCAAAAAAUAAAAAAAAUAAAAAAAUCAUUAUUCCUUUCUAGGGUUUUCAUUGUGCUUUACUCAAUCUCAGUAAAAUGCCUGAUUAAUCUUAACACAAUAUCGCUUUUAGGACAUUAAAAAAAUGUUUAAGCCUCCAUUUUUCAGAUUUUUUGUUAUCUUCAUUUUUUGUGUUUUUGGUCUCAGUUCUUGGAUUCAUGCUUCAAUCUGUUUUUUUUUUCCCAUCCCCUAAUCUUUCAAGAUUUUCCAAAAAUUCACAUAUAUUUAUUGAAAGAGAUUACCAAUAUCAUAAACGAUGCUAUAUAAACCAGAGCAACCAGGUCCACCAGCCAUCCAAAGCAAAAGAGGGUCCAUAUUAGGAUUGCUUUCGGACUCCAUGAAAUAGUAGAAUAGUUGUAUUUCUUCAUUUUCUCCCACACCAAUGUAUCUAUCAGUCAUUUUGAAGAUGAAAA
Molecule: long non-coding RNA, 479 nt
Filed under: Olea europaea subsp. europaea
Lineage: Eukaryota; Viridiplantae; Streptophyta; Magnoliopsida; Lamiales; Oleaceae
Source: RNAcentral